AUGUAUACAUAGCCUACAUGGCCGAUGAUACCAAAUCAUGUAAAUGUCAUUAUACAUUCAACUAUAAUUCCACUCAUUUAUGCAAGCUCACAAGACAAGAUUUAACUUCAUAUAUAAGCAUCACUUAAUUGGCCGAAAAAUACCAUUGGGAACAUACUUUAUCUUAGCUAAGUGAACUUGGCUGAAUCUACUUUGCUAAUUUCAACAUCACAUGAUUUCUUACUCAUAAGAUCAAAUGUAUAAAAUUCACUACAUUGUUUAUAUCCCGAAAUGAUGAGUAGUUAUCCAUGUACGAAUUCAAUAUAUCAUCACAUUGACAUUUAAUAAUUCACUUCAAUAGAUUAUUUCACAAGGCUGAAUAUACAAACCCUGUAUAAUCUCAUGUAUAUAUAUACAAUCGAAUACGCUUCAUUAUAAGUUCAUACCUAAUCACAUAUGCCAAAUCACUUUAAAAUUCACAUAUAACCAAUUAUACCAAAUGUUCAUUGACAAUCGAAUUCGUAUACAUAAUUAUUUCACAAAUAUACACAUUUUGACAAUAAAUAUCGAAACACAUACGUACAUUAUUUCAAAUAAUUAAUAAUCCAAUUUCUCCAAAUCUUUAGGGCUCGUUUACCGCAUUUGAUCUCACAUCGGUGUAUAGCCUUCUAGACUUAUAACUUAAUACAAUUCACCGGCUCAAGGCCUGCUAGACACAAAGCCCAAUUUUAUUCACUGGCACGAAGCCUACUAGGAUUAUAACCUAAAAUCUUACACUGAUACUAGGCCUACUAGACUCAAGGUCUGAUAUUUAAUCACCGGCAAUAGGCCUGCUAGGCAUAAAGCCCGAAUAAACUUAACAACACAAGACUUGCUAGGCUUUUAGCCUGAAUGAAUCCACCGACACAAGGCGUGCUAAGCUCAGAGCCCGAAUAUCUCAAUCACGUCUUACGCUACCGAUCAUUAACAGAACACUAUCAAAGUCUUUGAAUUAUCAUUUCCAACUCAAAAUCACAUCAGGCCAUCACAUUUAACUCAUCACAAUAUUAUUUACCCUUAUAAAUCACAUUCGGCAUUCACAUAGAAACAUAACAAAUAUCCUUCAAAUCAUAAGACACAUUCGACUUUCACAUUGAAACAUAGCAUAUAUAUUAUUCACAUUAUAAAUCAUAUUUGACAUCCUCAAUAUACAUUCAUUAAAACCAUUCAUCACUUUAGAUCACCUUCAACAUUCACUUUUACACCAUAAUAAUAUCAUUCACCUUACAAAAUCAUUCGGCAGUGGUAUAACAAUUUCUAACAAUUCAAUUCGGCACUUAUAUUUAACAUUUAUUUAAAUUUAGUACAUAACUUAGCUUAAGGACUUACCAAACUCAAUUUUUUUAGCAUGAAAUUAAUUUGCUCCCUUAAUGCUCAAUAACUGAUUUCGCACACUUAGUGCACAGAAAUUAAUUCAUACACAUAGUGCUUAAAUCCAACUCGCACACUUAGUGCUCAGUAUCAAAUUCACACACUUAGUGCAUCCCUCAAACUUAUUACUCAUUUAUACAUAUACACAAUAAGCUUAAACAUCAACCACAUAUUAACUUAUUCAUCUCCCUAUUCAAUAUCUCAUUCGGAUAUAUUAAACUCACAUAUAUAUAUGUACACAUCUCAAUCGGCUAUAUCAAACUACACCUAGAUACAUAUUCGGUUUCACGCAUAUAUAGACAUUCAACUUUAUCCAACUACACAUAUAUACACACUUAGUUAUGUCAAAACAUACAUAUAUAUCAUAUUCAACUAUACCAAUCCAAGUAUCUAUCACAUUCGAUUAUAAGACAUUCACCUAAAUAUCACAUUCGACUAUAAUAAUAGCAUUUAUAUAUAUAUACUUUCAAUAAAUUCAUAAACCUCAUUUAACGAUAAAUUCAAUUUGACUUAAUUGCUUAAAAACUUACCUCGGGUAUUAACUUUUGAUAAAAACGAUUACUCGACUAGCUUCGACUUCCCCGGAUCCAAAUCAGCUCUCUUUUGAUCAUGAGCUAGUUAAAAGAAAUUUAAACUUAUUUAAUUAAUUAACCAUUUUAUUUUCACUCAAAAAUCAUAUAAUAUAAUAAUUUAAAUAAUACCCCUUUUAAAAUUAGGCUUUGACAUUUCUGUUCAAGCAUCCUUAAUACAUCAAAAUAAUUAAAUUCUUCCCAUGGCACACUAAAACCGAAUAUGUCUUAUUCAAAUAUCAAUUCUCAUAUUUCAUUUAUUUAACCAUUUAACCCUCCUAUUAAAAAAUUUUCACAAAUUAAUCUUAAACUCAAAAUCACAUAAAAUCGUAACACAAAAGGCAUUCAUCUAACAUUUGAUUUUUAAUUUCUAACAUCAAACUCAAAUUUCUUAGCUUAUCAACUCAUGGUCGAACAUCAAUUAUUCACCAAAACAAAAAUUAACUCAUGGGUUUUAGAGAAAAUUAAGCAAGGAAUUCAAUGAUACUAAAAAUUAACAAAAACAACAUGAAUUUUACCUUGAAUUUUUGCUUUCAAAUGGCCGAAACUUCAAAGCCACAAAUUUUAUUUUCUUUCUCCUUUGUUCGGCGUCCAAGAUGAACUACAUGCAUGUUCUUUUUUUUUUUUAUGCUUUGUUUUAUUAAAACUUCACUUAAUAAUAAUUUACUAGUUUAACCUUUGAAAAGAAUAACAUAGCUUUAUUUUUUUAUGUCCCAUGCCGUCCAUAUCAAUUGUCUAAGGUUGAAUAUCAUCACAAAUACUCCAACUUACAAAAACAACUUCAAUUAAGCCCUAAAGAUACAAACAUGCAUGGCUUUCCAUUUUUUGUUUUAUAAUACUUAUAAAAUAAUUAUCUCACAAAUAACUUUAAAAUAAACAUAUAAAGACAUCAUGCAUUAAGCCAUUAAUGUCCAUAUAUUUAUUAAUGAUAUAAUUACCAUUCAAAACCUCAAUAUUUUAAAGACAUAACACUUAACAUUUUCAUGAUAGCAUGAUUAUUAAUCAAUUGAUGCAAUUUAAUCCUUUUUAAUAAUCAAGCACUCAAAUCAUUGAAUCUAAACACGAAAAUUUAGCACACCUAAAUUCAUACAUUCAAAACAUAGAAAAUGAUAUUUAAAUAUUUUUCUGACUCUGAUUCGUGAUCUCAAAACCACCGUUCCGAUUAGGGUCAAAUUCGGGCUGUUACAAGUAAGGCGACUGGUAAGGGGCCAUUAUAUUGAAGAGAAUCCUAAGGGAAUAUAGAAGCUGCUCGGGUCAAUGUGUUUAUUUUGAUAAAUCUAUGGUGUUCUUUAGCAAAAACAUGACAGAGGAGGCCAAAGAAGCGGUUGUAAGCAUUUUGGGGGUUCAAAGUUCAAAUGACACAGAGCGUUAUCUCGAUUUGCCGAACUUGGUAAGAAGAAAGAAGAAUGAGUCGUUCCAGAAUCUAAAAGAGGAUAAAGAAGCAGAUUGACAAUUGGAGUACUAGGCACCUCUCUCAAGGGGGAAAGGAAGUAUUUAUCAAGGUUAUUCUUCAAGCCAUCCCCACCUAUUCAAUGGCCUUUUUUUUACUACCGAAAUCGUUAUGUUUGGAGUUAAAAAGCAUCAUAGCUAAUUUUUUGUGACAAAAAAGUCAUCGCAAAAGGGGAAUUCAUUGGAGUACGUGGAGAAAUCUUUGGUCUUUUAAAGGAGGAAGGGGGUAUCAAAUUUCGUAAUCUUUGCCAAUUUAAUAUUGCACUUUUAGCUAAGCAAGGAUGGCGACUUCUUUUGUAUUCAUUAUUAGCGAGGGUUCUCAAAGUUAAAUAUUUUUCAGAUUUUCUUAAUGCUCGAUUAGGUAACCUACCUUCGCUUACCUGGAAAAGUGUUUGGGUUGCUAAGCGUUUGCUACAGGACGGGAUGUGCUGGAGAGUUGGCCGAGGAAAUAGAAUAUCAGUAUGGGAUGAUUGUUGGAUCCCGAGAUUUUGAUCCAAGCGAAUGGGGCUAUAGAAAUGACAAUGAUGUUAAGUUAGUUUCAUAUUUAAUUCAAGACACAGACAGAACAUGGAAGACUGACUUAAUUAUAGUACCUUCCAAGCAGAUGUUGCUCAAAAAAUUUCGCAGAUCCCUCUAACAGAAACACCUCAUGAGGAUUUUCGAGUAUGGAAAGAACAAUCUGGUGAACUUUCAUUGAGGAGCGCCUACAAACUAUUUAAAGAUGCUUGCUUGGAUCCUAAUUUUUAUUUAAUACAAGCCGAUCUAAAAGAUUUCUACAAUAAUCUAUGGAAUCUACAACUACCUUCCAAGAUUGCAAUUACAACAUGGAGAAUAUCAUGGAACUAGAUCCCAACUCUUGUUAAUUUAAAAUUCAAACGGGUUACUAAUAACGCGGUAUGUCCUCGUUGUGGAAGAGAGGAAGAAGACAUCACCCACAUCUUUCGACAAUGUCCUGUUAGAGUUGAAGUAUGGCAAUUGUUAGACCUGUCUUGGAUUAGUGAGAGUACGAUUCAGGGAUUCUGGGAGUGGAUUACCUAGGUUUUCAGAUUGAGUACGUCUGAGCAGUGCAAGAUAUUCUAUUGCGGUAUGUGGUUUAUUUGGAGCUUAAGGAAUAAAUUUAUACAUGAACAGAAAGCAGAGACAGGGAGGGAGUUAACACUCAAAGUUCAAAAGUACAUAGCCAAACUUGAAGGGUUGCGGGAAAGAGCAAGUACCUUAAAUACGAGUAGCAGUUACAGGCAUCAGGAGGUUUAUACCAAAGUGACGAUUCAGUUCGAUGCAACUUUUGAUAAAAGGAACUCUAAAUAGGCAUCGAGACUGGCGGUUUGGGGCUGGUCAGGGAGACUUAUGGCUAUGAAGACUCAGCUACACAGGAAUGUCCCGUUUCCAUUUGCUGCAGAAGCUUUUGCAGGUCUACAGGCGUUAAAACUAGGAAUUGCAAUGGAUUUUCCCUCAGUAACGAUCAUGGGGGAUUCUCGCACAAUCAUCAAGAAAUGUCAAGCCAUGAAGAACGAUAAAUCAGUCAUAGGGGCGAUUAUUAAAGACAUCCAUAGUAAGAUGACUAGUUUUGAAUAUAUUAGCUUCCAGUUUAUAAACAGAACAGAAAAUGCUUUUGCCCAUAAGAUUGCAGAAGAAGCUUUAAAGAAAGAGAAAGAAACAUACCUGGUGAGAGAGAGUGACGAUUUUCCGGAAGGGCGGUGGAGAAGAGAUCCAGAUUGAAAAGUGCAGUGUGAAUGAGGAAAUGAUAUGGGUAACAUGUAAAGAAAAAUAUGGAACGGCUACCAUCUGAACAGAAGGGAUAGACGAUGGGACAAGACUAUGGAAAGAUACGUCCAGCUGUUGUUGAUUCGACUAGUAUUAAUGACUUUAGGUGUCCUUUUUGCAGCAUUUAUUGUUGUCUUUUAAAGUUGUUU
This 5320-nucleotide long non-coding RNA is filed under the name Gossypium barbadense (sea-island cotton). Its description in RNAcentral is "long non-coding RNA (GBAR_LNC006699)". Lineage: Eukaryota; Viridiplantae; Streptophyta; Magnoliopsida; Malvales; Malvaceae. The record is from RNAcentral.